GCCCUUCGGGGUGCCCAGGCGCGAAAACUUUACAAUGCUGGAAACGGCGAUAGGGGGACUUCGAGUGCCAGGAUACAAAUCUGGCUGUCGUGAUGCCUAAAAAGCAUUGCAUAGCAAGGGCCGGGCAAGACCGGUGCCAGCCGCCGCGGUAACACCGGCGGCUCGAGUGGUAACCGUUAUUAUUGGGUCUAAAGGGUCUGUAGCCGGCCGGAUAAGUCUCUUGGGAAAUCUGACAGCUUAACUGUCAGGCUUUCAGGAGAUACUGUCUGGCUCGAGACCGGGAGAGGUGAGAGGUACUUCAGGGGUAGGGGUGAAAUCUUGUAAUCCUUGAAGGACCACCAGUGGCGAAGGCGUCUCACCAGAACGGACCUGACGGCAAGGGACGAAAGCUAGGGGCACGAACCGGAUUAGAUACCCGGGUAGUCCUAGCCGUAAACGAUACUCGCUAGGUGUCAGCCACGGUGCGACCGUGGUCGGUGCCGUAGGGAAGCCGUGAAGCGAGCCACCUGGGAAGUACGGCCGCAAGGCUGAAACUUAAAGGAAUUGGCGGGGGAGCAC
This 558-nucleotide ribosomal RNA is filed under the name uncultured archaeon. RNAcentral's name for it is "bacterial SSU rRNA". It matches the Rfam family "Archaeal small subunit ribosomal RNA", at positions 320 to 879 of the family's 1478-position model. The record is from RNAcentral.